RNAcentral lists this ribosomal RNA (1977 nucleotides) under human gut metagenome. RNAcentral's name for it is "bacterial LSU rRNA". It matches the Rfam family "Bacterial large subunit ribosomal RNA", at positions 1 to 1990 of the family's 2925-position model. The record is from RNAcentral.
GAAAGUAACGAAGGGCGUACGGUGGAUGCCUAGGCUCUUACAGGCGAUGAAGGACGUGAUAAGCUGCGAAAAGCCGCGGUGAGGCGCAAAUGGCCCUUGACCCGCGGAUCUCCGAAUGGGACAACCCAAUAUCUUGAAGAGAUAUUAUCCCGCCGGUGCGGGAGGCGAACGCGGGGAACUGAAACAUCUUAGUACCCGCAGGAAAAGAAAAUAAAGAAUGAUUCCCCCAGUAGUGGCGAGCGACCGGGGAACAGCCCAAACCGACGUUGUCUCGGCAUCGUCGGGGUUGUAGGACCGCGCCAUCGCAAGAAAGGCCGUGAGUGGAAGCGACUGGAAAGCCGCGCCAUAGAGGGUGACAGCCCCUUACACGAAGCAGCCCGAAGCGUAGCGGACUCCUGAGUAGCGCGGGACACGAGUAAUCCUGUGUGAAUCCGCCGGGCCCAUCCGGCAAGGCUAAAUACUCGUAAGAGACCGAUAGUGAACCAGUACCGUGAGGGAAAGGUGAAAAGUACCCCUUGCAGGGGAGUGAAAGAGUUCCUGAAACCGUACGCCUACAAGCGGUCGGAGCAUCUUGAAUGAUGUGACGGCGUGCCUUUUGCAUAAUGAACCUACGAGUUGCCGUCACCAGCGAGGUUAAGUGCGAUGACGCACCGAGCCGCAGCGGAAGCGAGUCUUAAAAGGGCGCAAUAGUUGGUGGAGGCAGACGCGAAACCGAGUGAUCUACACUUGUCCAGGAUGAAGUCCCGGUAACACGGGAUGGAGGUCCGCACCAAUAAGCGUUGAAAAGCUUCUGGAUGAGGUGAGUGUAGGAGUGAAAGGCCAAUCAAACUCGGAGAUAGCUCGUACUCCCCGAAAGGCAUUUAGGUGCCGCCUGUGGCGUUCCCGACGUGAGGUAGAGCGACUGAUAGGAUGCGAGGGCUUCACCGCCUAUCAAGUCCUGACAAACUCCGAAUGCACGUCGGCCAAGCCAUGGAGUAAGGGCAUGGGUGCUAAGGUCCGUGCCCGAGAGGAGAAGAAUCCAGACCACCGGCUAAGGUCCCGAAAUACUGGUUAAGUUAGACUAACGCAGUCCGGCCCCCAAGACAGCUAGGAUGUUGGCUUGGAAGCAGCCAUUCAUUCAAAGAGUGCGUAACAGCUCACUAGUCGAGGAGCUGGGCGUGGAUAAUAAUCGGGUAUGAAACCAGUUACCGAAGCCGUGGGAUGCUUAAGCAUCGGUAGGGGAGCAUUGCAUGCGGCUUAGAAGGCGGGGCGCGAGCCCCUCUGGAGCGCAUGGAAACGCAAAUGUAGGUAUAAGUAACGACAAGGGGGGUGGGAUGCCCCCCCGCCGAAAGACCAAGGUUUCCUGAACAACGCUAAUCGGUUCAGGGUCAGUCGGGUCCUAAGCAUAAGCCGUAUGGCGAGGGCGAUGGACGAAACGGUUAAUAUUCCGUUACUGUCUUGGUGUGUGACGCGGCGACGGAGUAGUGACACGGCCGCCUCCUGACGGAAAAGGGGGUUGAAGCGCAAAGGUGUCGAGGAAGGCAGGCAAAUCCACCUUCCGAGCCGAAGCGCGAAAGUACGCCGGGCCCUUUGGGGCAAGGCGAUAGUGCCGGUAAUCAGACUUCCAAGAAAACCCGCUAAACUUCAGCACCAAGUCACCCGUACUCUAAACGGACACACGUGGUCGGGUAGAAUAUACUAAGGCGCUUGGGAGAUUCACGGUUAAGGAACUAGGCAAAUUGACCCCGUACCUUCGGAAUAAGGGGUCCUCGCUUUUGCGAGGCGCAGAGAAUAGGUCCAGGCAACUGUUUAACAAAAACACAGGGCUGUGCAAAUUUGAAAGAAGAAGUAUACAGCCUGACACCUGCCCGGUGCCGGAAGGUUAAGAGGAGAGCUCAUCAGCGAUGAGAAGGCUUGAAUUGAAGCCCCGGUAAACGGCGGCCGUAACUAUAACGGUCCUAAGGUAGCGAAAUUCCUUGUCGGGUAAGUUCCGACCUG